This 440-nucleotide ribosomal RNA is filed under the name uncultured bacterium. Its description in RNAcentral is "partial 16S ribosomal RNA". It matches the Rfam family "Bacterial small subunit ribosomal RNA", at positions 338 to 795 of the family's 1533-position model. The record is from RNAcentral.
CCUACGGGAGACAGCAGUGGGGAAUAUUGCACAAUGGGGGAAACCCUGAUGCAGCGACGCCGCGUGCGUGAAGACGUAUUUCGGUAUGUAAAGCUCUAUUAGCAGGGAAGAAAAUGACGGUACGUGACUAAGAAGCCCUGGCUAACUACGUGCCAGCAGCCGCGGUAAUACGUAGGGGGCAAGCGUUUUCCGGAUUUACUGGGUGGAAAGGGAGCGUAGACGGCAUCGCAAGUCUGGAGUGAAAGCCCGUGGCUUAACCAUGGAACUGCAGUGGAAACUGUGCGGCUGGAGUGCAGGAGAGGUUGGCGGAAUUCCUGGUGUAGCGGUGAAAUGCGUAGAUAUUAGGAGGAACACCAGUGGCGAAGGCGACUGACUGGACUGUAACUGACGUUGAGGCUCGAAAGUGUGGGGAGCAAACAGGAUUAGAUACCCCUGUAGUC